GUGCCAGCAGCCGCGGUAAUACGGAGGAUGCAAGCGUUAUCCGGAAUGAUUGGGCGUAAAGCGUUCGCAGGUGGUUGUUCAAGUCUGCUGUUAAAGCGUGCGGCUUAACCGCAUACAGGCGGUGGAAACUGAACGACUAGAGUGCGGUAGGGGCAGAGGGAAUUCCUGGUGUAGCGGUGAAAUGCGUAUAGAUCAGGAAGAACACCGGUGGCGAAAGCGCUCUGCUAGGCCGCAACUGACACUCAGGGACGAAAGCUAGGGGAGCGAAUGGGAUUAGAUACCCCAGUAGUCCUAGCCGUAAACGAUGGAUACUAGGCGUUGUCUGUAUCGACCCGGACAGUGCCGUAGCUAACGCGUUAAGUAUCCCGCCUGGGGAGUACGCACGCAAGUGUGAAACUCAAAGGAAUUGACGG
This 413-nucleotide ribosomal RNA is filed under the name uncultured bacterium. Its description in RNAcentral is "bacterial SSU rRNA". It matches the Rfam family "Bacterial small subunit ribosomal RNA", at positions 505 to 916 of the family's 1533-position model. The record is from RNAcentral.